This 465-nucleotide ribosomal RNA is filed under the name uncultured bacterium. RNAcentral's name for it is "partial 16S ribosomal RNA". It matches the Rfam family "Bacterial small subunit ribosomal RNA", at positions 28 to 507 of the family's 1533-position model. The record is from RNAcentral.
GACGAACGCUGGCGGCGUGCUUAACACAUGCAAGUCGAACGGAAAGGCCCUGCUUGCAGGGUCCUCGAGUGGCGAACGGGUGAGUAACACGUGGGUGCUCUGCCCUGCACUUCGGGAUAAGCCUGGGAAACUGGGUCUAAUACCGGAUAGGAGCCAUUUUUAGUGUGAUGGUUGGAAAGUUUUUUCGGUGUAGGAUGAGCUCGCGGCCUAUCAGCUUGUUGGUGGGGUAAUGGCCUACCAAGGCGGCGACGGGUAGCCGGCCUGAGAGGGUGGACGGCCACAUAGAGUCUUAGGGACGGCCCAGGCGCGGACGGGAGGCAGCAGGGGGGAAGAUUGCACAAUGGGCGCAAGCCGGAUGCAGCGGGGCUGCGUGGGGGAUGACGGCCUUCUGGUUGUAGAAUACUAGCGCGAGGGACGAAGCUUUUUGUGACGGUACCUAGAUAAGAAGCACCGGCUAACUACGUG